This 126-nucleotide small nuclear RNA is filed under the name Phaseolus vulgaris (common bean). Its description in RNAcentral is "snRNA U1". It matches the Rfam family "U1 spliceosomal RNA". Rfam says of the family: U1 is a small nuclear RNA (snRNA) component of the spliceosome (involved in pre-mRNA splicing). Its 5' end forms complementary base pairs with the 5' splice junction, thus defining the 5' donor site of an intron. Lineage: Eukaryota; Viridiplantae; Streptophyta; Magnoliopsida; Fabales; Fabaceae. The record is from RNAcentral.
AUACUUAUCUGGACGACACCAAUGACUUUCAUUGCACUUGGGAGAGGUGUUUCUCUAAGGUUUGUCCAAAUGGCAAAGCUUGUCAUAAUUUGUAGUAGAUGGAGCAUGUGUUUGCUCAACCUUAUA